Molecule: ribosomal RNA, 376 nt
Filed under: Gammarus sp. lacustris-type BLHM02L
Lineage: Eukaryota; Metazoa; Arthropoda; Malacostraca; Amphipoda; Gammaridae
Description: partial 16S ribosomal RNA
Rfam family: Bacterial large subunit ribosomal RNA
Source: RNAcentral
GUGCUAAGGUAGCAUAAUCAUUUGCUACUUAAUUGGUAGCUGGAAUGAAAGGUUAAACUAGCUUACUCAGUUUGUUGUGUUUUGUAAGAAAUUAAAGUCGAGGUAAGAAUUCUUUGAUCUGCUAGGGGACGAUAAGACCCUAGAAGCUUAACAAUAAGAGUAUUUAUUAGUUAUAAAAAUUAAUUUGUUUUACUGGGGCGGUAAAGGUAUAUAAACUAUUAGUGUAUUGAUAGAUCCUUAAAAUAAAGAUAAAACGGGAAAGUUACUCUAGGGGUAACAGUGCAAUAUUUUUGGAGAGAUCAUAUCGAUAAAAAUGUUUGCAACCUCGAUGUUGAAUUAAGAUGUCUACGUGAAGCAGGAGGUACGUGAGAGGGUU